This 1604-nucleotide long non-coding RNA is filed under the name Homo sapiens (human). RNAcentral's name for it is "HSALNT0377113". The record is from RNAcentral. Lineage: Eukaryota; Metazoa; Chordata; Mammalia; Primates; Hominidae.
CCAACUCAACCUCCUAAGUAGCUGGGACUACAGGUGAAAUUGACCACAAAUCAAUCACUACCAUUGAUGAAGAUUGAUUCAAGAAUGGUCGUAUAAUCCAGUAAGAACUGAUGAAUGCCUGAGAGCCAAUAAAUAAAGACUUCUGGAAAAGAGAGGCAUUCAUUCUUGCCUUUGAGCUUUGCAAGGUGGUAAAGCUUGGUAAUAGUCGCCAUAUAGCUAACUUGAGUGGAGCCAUCAAGGUAACCAAGGCUGUCAGACACCCCCAGAGAGAAUCAUUCACAUGUGCAAAGGAUGAACUCAACACCCAGAAGAAGCAUCCUAGUGACAUUGGGCAGCUCUGAUUCAAGAGGAACCUGAAACUACUCACAGAAUUCAUUGAAAUUGAGCCAAUAAAUUCAUUCAUUUCUUAGGGCGGCUUCAGUUUUCUGUCAUUUGCAGCAUAAAGAUCUGGUGUAAUAAAAGUCUAGGAGGAAAUAAAAGAUUUCUUUCCUAUUCUCAACCUCCGGUUUCAUCUCCUAGAGAUAAUCACUGUUUCUUACAGACAUAUGUUUGCAAACAUGUAUCUAAUGUAUGCCUUUUAAUGCAAAUAGGAUUGUAUUAAAUAUAUAGUUCCACCACUUGCUCUUUUAAACUUAUGUUGUAUUAUGGGCAUCUUCCUUUGUCAACAUAUAGAUCUACCACUUUUUCUUUAUAGUUGCAUACAAUUCUAUAAAUUAGAUGUAUCAUCAAUUUAAUCUCUUCCUUUGAUAGAAAUUUAGUUUUUCCUCAAUUUUUUACUUUGACAAACAUUACCUUUAUACGUAUAUCUUUGUGCACUUGUGCAGCUAUAAAAGGAAAAAAAAAUCCUAAAAGUGAAAGUGCUCAAAGAGAAUGUGCACUUAAAAUUUUUGGCCUCCAGAAUUAUUACAGCAAUUUAUACUCUUUUCAGAAACAUGAGGCUACGUUUCCUAGUGCUGGUAAAACUGUGUUUGAUAAACUUCAGAAAAGUUUGCCAGUACGAUAAUGAAAAGCAGUAUUGUUUUCUUGAUUUGCAUUUGUUUAGUGAGUGCAUAUAUAUAUAUACACGUGGAGACAUACAUGGAGCGACACAUACAUAUUUAGGCUAUUUUAUAACUUCAUUAACUAUUUUAAUGUAAAUUUUUUAUUCAUAUCCUUAGUUGAUUUUUCUGUUGGGUCAUUUAUCUUUUCCUCAUUUAUUUGUCUUUAUAUAUUAAGAAAAUAGAUUCUUUUCUCAUACGUAUUUUGAAUAUUCUUUUCAGUUUUGUUGUUUGUCUUUUUGGUAAUUUAUUUCUGAAUUUCUUUUUCUAUUAAAUGUUCUAAGUAGAGAAAAAACAGGAGAGGAUUAUAUAAUGAGCACUCAUACAGCCACUACCUAGUUUUAACAUGUUGUCAUUUUGUAAUAUUUGCUUCAGCGUUUUUUUUAAAAGAAAAAAUGUUGCAGAUACAACUGAAGUUCUUUCAUACCCUCUCCAAUUCCAUUCCUUUCCACCCCUCCCCAGAAUAACUAGCAUCCUGAAGGAAAUGUGCCUGUGUUUUUGGAAACCCUUUAUACCCCUCAAAUACCCCUCACAUGAACUAUUUAAAUAUUUUCCUUUGUCUUUCAG